This 253-nucleotide ribosomal RNA is filed under the name uncultured bacterium. Its description in RNAcentral is "partial 16S ribosomal RNA". It matches the Rfam family "Bacterial small subunit ribosomal RNA", at positions 524 to 776 of the family's 1533-position model. The record is from RNAcentral.
UACGUAGGGGGCAAGCGUUGUCCGGAUUUAUUGGGCGUAAAGAGCGUGUAGGCGGCCAGACAGGUCAGCUGUGAAAACUCGAGGCUCAACCUCGAGACGUCGGUUGAAACCGUCUGGCUAGAGUCCGGAAGAGGCGAGUGGGAUCCUGGUGUAGCGGUGAAAUGCGCAGAUAUCAGGAGGAACACCAAUGGCGAAGGCAGCUCGCUGGGACGGUACUGACGCUGGAGACGCGAAAGCGUGGGGAGCAAACAGG